CCCUCCCCCUCCUCCUCCUCCUCCUCCUGCCCGGGGACUUCCCGAGCUCCGCCGGUUCCCGCCCACCGGCGGCAGGGGCUGGCUGCCAGCCUCCCUCAGGCUGCCGGGCCUCCCGUCCCAGCGCCCUCGCCCUCGCCCGGGCCCUCAGCGUCUCCCUGUCCUCACGCAUCCCUCGGCGUUUCCCGCCCGGAGGAGCCCAGGGCCGGCCAGCCGAGCGGGGAUUUAGGAUGGGGUUUGCCCCGCUGUGGGGAUGUAGCCCGUUAGUGGCUGUCAGAGGACACGGUUGGAUGCGGCGUCUGGCCCGGGAAGUGCUUCGAGGCCUGGUUCUCGGGGAUGGGGGUGGUUGGGGCAGUUCGGCUCACACGGUCGCAGGGCUUAGUGACUGUCCUUAGCGGGGUGCUGGGCUGGAACUGCCUCGCAGUGCCCGUUCUUAGGUAAUAGGGCCGACUUUGGACUUUUGGUCCCUUCGUUUUCAAUGGGAAAAAUGCCAUUUUACUUAAAAUGUCAGCUUUCCGCCUGGGAAAGACCAAUCUUUCAUUAAAUAACCGCAUGGCUUGAAAAUAAGCUCUUCUGAUUUGAAAACGCUGUGCUCUGAUACCUCCUAGGAAUUGUGAACUGUCUGCUGUUUAAUGAAAUCGUGCCUUUCUGCGGACUGGUAUCCUCAGCUGCCCUCCGAGCGCUGCAGCCAGGGACUCCCCAGCACAAGAAGGGAGGUGCACGGAUCCCUCUCCAGAGGCACCCAGCUCGAGCUGUCCUAUACUGCUGUACCACUCAAUAAAUUUGUCUGAUGUAUGUCGUGUCAGAGACUCUUCUUCAGGAAAGCUAGAGCUGAGCCUGAGGGAAGACGAAACACCUGAGGGUCGUGGGUAACACGCAGGAGCGGAGUGUGUUGGGUCUGUGAAGGAAGGAGACUUCUGUUCUAACUCCCGUCUCAGCGUUGCCUUCUUGCUUCUGACUGAUGCUGUGGUAGCUGCUGGAAACUCCUGAUUUUGGCCAGGAUCCCAUAGAUACUGUACAGACGUAGCCCAAAGACUGACUUCUCUCGCAGGACACUAUGAAUAUACACUACACCAGUCUGGAUUGCUUCCUCUGAGCAGCUCAGGUUCCUAAAGGAGCUUUGCUUUAUUCUUGCCACAGAGGUAUCCACAGGUCCAUGGAAGGACUACUACCCUUGAUUAAUACCUGGGCUUCUUGCCAAUGUAAAUGCUGGAGUGUUUGCUGUGACUUCAGAUUUGCUGAUUAAGCUUAAUUUCCAAUUGAUAGGUAAUUUGAAAACACCGCAAAAGAUAUGUUCUUUCAGGCUUUGAGCAGACUAAGUGGGGGAGAGGGGAUGUUACGAAGUGCAUCCAACUUCUGCAGUCAGCAGCACUGUGUGAUGAAUGUCACCAUAACCUACAGAGAAGUAAGAUAAUGAAAUGCUUUCAUUUCUUCUGACAGUUAAAUGCUAACAUGGCCUGGAGAGGGCUCAGAGCCAGCUGGUAAAAUUACAUUAAACAGUGUCAGGCCUUAAAUUAUCAUCUACAGUAAGACAACUACAAAGAGCGUGAAAGUCUCAUGUAUGAUCUGAAUGUUUAUCUGCCAUUAACAGAUGGUAUGUUCAAUCUGGGAUCACCAUGGAUUUUUGAUUAUCAGUCCAGUAUUGAACCUAUUUCUAUUAAUAACUGUUAUUACCUUCAAAGGGAGAAUCAUCAAAUGCAAAGUCCAGGAAGCCAAGAGAUGACAGAAAUAAAACAGUAGAAAAAAGUGACCCAAGAUCAUGGUUUUAGUCUGACAACCCUGUUGUGGGCAGGAUAUGUGAAGCAAAGGUAGUGCCAAGGAAUGUAUCUAACUAAUUGCUUUUGGCCCAUUCCGUGCCGUUUAAUACAGUGUGUCAUGUACCACUUUCCCUCCCACAUACAGCUGAAUCGAUAACUUCUUUUACAACUGCAAUUAUAUAACAUCUCUGUGCAAUGACAUAGAAAAGUAAAAAUAGUACCUCUAGCACAGCUCUUAGAUGAUCUAAUUCGGAGCUUGCUCGUAUGUAGAGAAAUUUGUAUGUAACGGUUUUCCUUUUCAGCUUUUUCCAUCCUCAAAUGAGUUGCAGUUUGAUUGUGCCGAAUUGCUGGAAUUCCUCACUCUCAGCUCUGAUUUCUUUCUUGAAACAAACUCAUUCUGUCACCAGUCAAAAAUAUUAUCUGUAAUCUUUUUUUUCUAAUAAAUUUGGUGAUUGGAGUCAAA
Harpia harpyja (harpy eagle) is the source of this 2217-nucleotide long non-coding RNA. RefSeq lists it as uncharacterized. The transcript is spliced from 4 exons. The record is from RefSeq and is a predicted model, not a curated record. NCBI's taxonomy places the organism in Eukaryota, Metazoa, Chordata, Aves, Accipitriformes, Accipitridae.